UACGUAGGGGGCUAGCGUUGUCCGGAAUCAUUGGGCGUAAAGAGCGUGUAGGCGGCUCGGUAAGUCCGCUGUGAAAGUCCAGGGCUCAACCCUGGAAUGCCAGUGGAAACUGUCGAGCUAGAGUCCGGAAGAGGCGAGUGGAAUUCCUGGUGUAGCGGUGAAAUGCGCAGAUAUCAGGAGGAACACCGGUGGCGAAGGCGGGACUCUGGGCCGAUACUGACGCUGAGGAGCGAAAGCGUGGGGAGCAAACAGG
RNAcentral lists this ribosomal RNA (253 nucleotides) under uncultured bacterium. RNAcentral describes it as "partial 16S ribosomal RNA". It matches the Rfam family "Bacterial small subunit ribosomal RNA", at positions 524 to 776 of the family's 1533-position model. The record is from RNAcentral.